Molecule: transfer RNA, 76 nt
Filed under: Geminicoccaceae bacterium
Lineage: Bacteria; Pseudomonadati; Pseudomonadota; Alphaproteobacteria; Geminicoccales; Geminicoccaceae
Description: tRNA-Thr
Rfam family: tRNA
About the family: Transfer RNA (tRNA) molecules are approximately 80 nucleotides in length.
Source: RNAcentral
GCCGCAGUAGCUCAGCCGGUAGAGCAACGCAUUCGUAAUGCGUAGGUCGGGGGUUCGAAUCCCUCCUGCGGCACCA